Molecule: long non-coding RNA, 289 nt
Organism: Fundulus heteroclitus (mummichog)
Lineage: Eukaryota; Metazoa; Chordata; Actinopteri; Cyprinodontiformes; Fundulidae
Exons: 3
Source: RefSeq, a predicted model, not a curated record
GAAGAAGAAAAAAAACCGUGCUGAGCGCUCCGCUACUGUGUGUUCAUGUCCUCUUCUGAGCCUGAAGAUGAAAUAAAACCACAACUGCUGUAAGCAGGACGCUGUCUUCACAACUCGGAGACAAAUUGCAGGCGCUAUGAACCGGAGCAAGGACUAAUCUCGCCUCAUAAUGAGGCGGUGACCUCCUAUUUGCUCUGAGCAAUAUAUGCAAGUCCAGAUUUACACAAUGUUGAUAAAGACGACAUUGUGUGUAAGUGACUUGUUUUACUGUUUUCUCCUUCCUUGUUAC